GACGAACGCUGGCGGCGUGCUUAACACAUGCAAGUCGAACGGAAAGGCCCUGCUUUUGUGGGGUUCUCGAGGGGCGAACGCGUGAGUAACACGUGAGUAACCUGCCCUUGUCUUUGGGAUAACUUCAGGAAACUGGGGCUAAUACCGGAUAGGAGACCCUGCUGCAUGGUGGGGGUUGGAAAGUUUCGGCGGUUGGGGUUGGACUCGCGGCUUAUCAGCUUGUUGGUUGGGUAGGGGCUUACCAAGUCUUUGACGGGUAGGCGGCCUGGGAGGGGGGCCGGCCACCUUGCGACUACGAUACGGACCAGACGGAUACGGGAGGCAACAGGGGGGAAUAUGGCACAAUGGGCGGAAGCGUGAUGCAGCGACGCCGCGUGCGGAAUGACGGCCUUCGGGUUGUAAACCGCUUUCGCCUGUGACGAAGCGUGAGUGACGGUAAUGGAUAAAGAAGCACCGGCUAACUACGUG
This 468-nucleotide ribosomal RNA is filed under the name uncultured bacterium. RNAcentral describes it as "partial 16S ribosomal RNA". It matches the Rfam family "Bacterial small subunit ribosomal RNA", at positions 28 to 507 of the family's 1533-position model. The record is from RNAcentral.